This 493-nucleotide ribosomal RNA is filed under the name uncultured bacterium. RNAcentral describes it as "partial 16S ribosomal RNA". It matches the Rfam family "Bacterial small subunit ribosomal RNA", at positions 29 to 507 of the family's 1533-position model. The record is from RNAcentral.
AACGAACGCUGGCGGCGCGUCUUACACAUGCAAGUCGAACGGCAGGAAGGGGCUUGCCCCUUCUGAGAGUGGCGGACUGGUGAGUAACACGUGGGUGACAUACCUUUUAGUUGGGGAUAGCUAUUAGAAAUAGUAGGUAAUACCGAAUAUGACCGUACCUGUUAGAGGGGUACGAGGAAAGGAGCUAAGGCUUCGCUAAAAGAAUGGCUCGCGGCCCAUUAUGCUCGUUGGUGAGGUAACGGCCCACCAAGGCGAUGAUGGGUAUCCGGCCUGAGAGGGUGAACGGACACAUUGGGACUGAGAUACGGCCCAGACUUCUACGGGAGGCAGCAGUUAAGAAUAUUCCGCAAAGGACGAAAGUCUGACGGAGCGACGCCGCGUGGAUGAAGAAUGCCGAAAGGUUGUAAAAUCCUUUUAAGCCUGAUGAAUAAGCACAGUAGGGAAUGAUUGUGCGGUGACCGUAGGGCUUGAAUAAGCACCGGCUAAUUACGUG